Molecule: transfer RNA, 72 nt
Filed under: Marmota monax (woodchuck)
Lineage: Eukaryota; Metazoa; Chordata; Mammalia; Rodentia; Sciuridae
Rfam family: tRNA
About the family: Transfer RNA (tRNA) molecules are approximately 80 nucleotides in length. Their secondary structure includes four short double-helical elements and three loops (D, anti-codon, and T loops). Further hydrogen bonds mediate the characteristic L-shaped molecular structure. tRNAs have two regions of fundamental functional importance: the anti-codon, which is responsible for specific mRNA codon recognition, and the 3' end, to which the tRNAs corresponding amino acid is attached (by aminoacyl-tRNA synthetases). tRNAs cope with the degeneracy of the genetic code in two manners: having more than one tRNA (with a specific anti-codon) for a particular amino acid; and 'wobble' base-pairing, i.e. permitting non-standard base-pairing at the 3rd anti-codon position.
Source: Rfam by way of RNAcentral
UGGGCUGGGGCUCAGUGGUAGAGCGCUCGCCUAGCAUGUGUGAGGCACUGGGUUCAAUCCUCAGCACCACAU